This 254-nucleotide ribosomal RNA is filed under the name uncultured bacterium. RNAcentral's name for it is "partial 16S ribosomal RNA". It matches the Rfam family "Bacterial small subunit ribosomal RNA", at positions 524 to 776 of the family's 1533-position model. The record is from RNAcentral.
UACGGAGGGGGCGAGCGUUAUUCGGAAUCAUUGGGCGUAAAGGGCGCGUAGGCGGCCACCGAAGGUCGACUGUGAAAUCUCCGGGCUUAACCCGGAAAGGUCAGCCGAUACUGCGGGGCUAGAGUGCAGAAGGGGCAACUGGAAUUCUCGGUGUAGCGGUGAAAUGCGUAGAUAUCGAGAGGAACGCCGGCGGCGAAGGCGGGUUGCUGGGCUGACACUGACGCUGAGGCGCGAAAGCUAGGGGAGCGAACGGG